Molecule: long non-coding RNA, 7972 nt
Filed under: Homo sapiens (human)
Lineage: Eukaryota; Metazoa; Chordata; Mammalia; Primates; Hominidae
Description: HSALNT0340246
Source: RNAcentral
UUUAUAUAUUUAUAUAUAUUUAUAUAUGAUUAGAUAACAGUAGAAGAUUAAGAAAACAUCAAUAAAUUAUUUUCUGAUUUGUUUACUUACAAUGAUAAAAGUGACAUUAUCAGGGAUGACUGCUUAGUUAAGCGUUUGAAAAGUAAAGUUAGAUUUCUAUUUAUAAAUUUCAAGACAUGAUUGAAUAUGAACAAUCAAAUCGUGGAAAUACUAAGAAAAUGUGGGUGAAUAUAUAACAUUGGAGUGAGAGAACACUUUUAUGGCAGAAUCUUUAAAGAUUGCUGAGUAUAUAAUGUUUUGACAUAAGUAAUUUAAAGGCAAAUAAUUAGAGCACAAAAGAUAGAAAAGGUAAUAAAUGAAGUCUUAAAUUCAUUCCAGUAAAAAAUAAUUUGUAUCCAGUAAAAAAAAAAAAAAAGCACUCCAAUAGGAAAUGGGUAAUAAAGAUGAAAAAAGGUAGUAUCCAGUAGUUAAAACUACCAUAUUCUUAAGAUGAUAUUUAGUGUUGGUGAAACUGUAGGGGAAUGUAAAACAGAAUAUAGCCUUUCCAGCAAGUAUCAGAUUUUCAAAAUGUGCACAGAUCAUUCACUGUCAUCCUCUUAUUCCUAGAAUACAAAUCAGACUAAUGAACAUGGCUUACAAAAUCCUGAAAGGUUGUGCUCUCGCCUCCUGUCAGUUUGAGCUCCUCCUUAAUUCCUGGUUUAGCUAGGCUGCUCUUCCAAUUCCUGCACCUUCCAGCCCCGGACUUUUUAAAUUGCUGUUCUUUUUGCUGCAAACACACACAGUUUCUUCCUUCUUUGCCUCACUAGCACUAAUGACUCAUCAGAUCUCAGCAUAAUUGCCAAUUCUUUGGGAGGCUUUUCCCUGGAAGCACAGUUUAUUACUUUGCCUUUAACACUGUUGCAGUUUACAUUUAUUUCCUUGUUUCUCUCACCAUAUAGAAGGGAUGAAGUUGGGGAGAACCUGGUAUUUAGUUCAGUCCUGGAUGAGUGCCAGCAGAAGUUUGAAAGGAUGUCAUGCAUGUGUGAGAUUUAGCUUUCCAGAUAUUCAUUGCAUUGUUGGUUACUAGGAAAAAAAUCAGAAUUAGCAGAUGUUCAGCAGAGUGAGCUAUGGCCACAUUUGAACACUGUUUGGGUCCAUGAUUAGGGAUGGCUUAUUUCAAGACUGAUGUAAUUAUUGCAUCCAGAAGAAAGGUCUGGAUUUUAACCUGGGAGCUAAAUAGAUAAACUAUCAAAGCUGGCAGAAAUGCCCCAUGGGUCAGAGCCUAAAGCCAGGUACAGGGUGGGGAGAGGAUGCAGAGUUAAUUGUGAGACUGAUCAGUUUCAUUUCUGUUGGAAGUUGGAGAGAAGAUAAUUGGAGCUGUAGAUCUCACUGGGGGUGGGCAGCAUUGUGGGGACACCCCUCUGGAGGAAAUGAGCAAGUCCCUGCCUCCUAGCAGCAGGGUGGGGCCUAAGGAGAAAGGUCCUGGUUAUAAACUCCUGUGAAGGGAUGUCACAGGUUCUAAGAACACUGAAAUGCGUGAGCCACUGUUAUUUUUCCUACAUUGUUAAUUCCCUUCUGUUAGCCUCACAUUCAUUAAGUCUUUGUCAAGAACUACAGCCCAAUGUGAGCUGUGUUUUGGAUGAUUCAGGGAGGGACUGUGUCCAUACUGGGGCCAGAUGGUACCUAGGUGGCUGGGGUAAUCCAAACACUGGUCUCAAGGCCAGAUUGUGACUAGUAACAACCAGGAUAUAUGUUUCUGGAAUAUAAACACUUCUAGGACUUCUUACAUUAUUAUACAUUACCAUAAAGACUAGACCUACAGUGAGAGGGUCAGAUUUAUGUUAGAUAGGUAAAAGAAAAGGGUGAUCUGGAGGGCUGGAGAAUUGGAGACAUUCACAUCAUACUUUGGUGACAUAAUUAGAUGCCACAGCUCACCAGUAUUGUAACUAUUUUCCUUGGCUCUUUCUACCAUCGCUAUUGAAAUUAGGCUUUUCAAAUUAGUGGCAGGAAAGGCCAUAUUUGGAGCUUCAAAUACACAGUCCCAGUGGCAGUUCUUGCCUCUGUGUUUUUUUGUUGUUGUUGUUUGCUUGUUUGUUUUGAGACGGAGUCUCACUCUAUCGCCCAGGCUGGAGUGCAGUGGCACUAUUUCGGCUCACUGCAACCUCUGCCUCAGCCUCCCAAGUAGCUGGGAUUACAAGCGCCUGCCAACACGCCCAGCUAAUUUUUGUAUUUUUAAUAGAGAUGGGGUUUCACCAUUUUGGCCAGGCUGGUCCUGAACUCCUGACCUCCUGAUCCACCUGCCUCGGCCUCCCAAAGUGCUGGGAUUACAGGCGUGAGCCACUGCGUCCGGCCUUGCCUCACCGUUAAAAGACUACAAUAUGACGUGAUACAUCAGCUUUUUCGAAGUCCAGUGUACGUCAGACCCUGAGGCCUGCAGUAUCUGGAAUGGUGUUGCUGGAUGUGCAAAACUGCCAGGCUCUGGCUUGUGGUGUUCUCAUCUACCAGAUCAUUCCUGGGAGGCCCAAUUUGGCCAGCUGGCUCACCUCUGCCGGUGGUAUUGCUAGCAUUGCACAUUGGAACUGCAGCUUGGGAAAGUGAUAGAAACCAAACACAUGGUGGGUACAAAGCAAGUUUGUUGUAUUUUAUCCACAUUAGUAUUUUGGAUGUUUCAAUAUUUAAACAUUUCAAAAAGCAAAAUCAAUGAUAAUACUUCUUGAAUGUGUUGUGAACAAUGCAAGCCUUUUAUUAAAAAUUAUGGAAUAUUCGAAAGAAAUGUUUUUCUUACAAGAGAGCAGAGAAUAAUUACUCAGGGUUCCUGUGUCAAAGCCUCUAGGGCCCCUUUACUGUCCAGAAUUCUUAGUAAGUGGAAAACCUUUCCCAAGCACAAUGAAGUCUCAACCCUGAUACGGGCAGGACAGCAAAAGACCUGUCUCCUCUUUCCAGAGCAAACCCCAGUGGUUGCACCUGUCCUCCCAUUACACUUUGGGGAUAAACCCUGGAGGCCAUAGUGUAGGGGACCAGUUUCAUGGGUCUUGUUGCCAAAGCUUACUUUUUUGAUCCUACUGCUAAAUUCUGACCCUUCCUCCAAUUGAUCUGCUUUCCAAAAAGAGCAUACCAACACCUGCACAAACCAUUUGAUGUGGUGCAGUAAGCUGUUUCAUCCAAGUGUUCCAAAGCCAUAGGAUGAGCAAGGGGGAAAAACUUAGACCUGUAUAGGAUCUUCCCCCAGGUAGUUACUCUUUCACAGGGGGUGCAUGGGAGACAGGCUGCUGUUGUGCCAUCCUUUCCAUUACAUAAUGAUAACAACUGUUACUUGGAAUGCUUUAAUGCUUGAUGUUAUUUAUGUUUAAAUAUUUGCUGUAUUCCUGGCUCUGUGCUAAAUGCUAUGCCUGCAUCUUAAAAAAUCCUUAAAAUAACUCAAGGUAGGUACCAUUGUUGCUUCCAUUCUCCAGAUGGGACACUAAGACUUUAAGAAGUUAAAUAGCUCACCUGAAAACACACAGCUAGUAAGUAACACAAUGGAGACUUGAACCCAAGUCUAUUCUACUCUAGACCAUGGACUCCAAGAUUAAUUAAUUAUGCAAAUAAGGAAUGUGGAGAGUUCAGCCUUGAGCAAAGGGAGAUUAGCUUGUUUUGCACCAACUCUUCUGCUGAGGAAAGGACAAAAGCCAGAAUAUACAUACCUAUUCAGGGAUCAGAGGGCUGUUGAGAAAGCAAGGGCUAAUAUUCGAGAGACCUACAUUUGAUACUGUUCGUUUCCCCCUCAAGGGACUUGCUAAUUCAAGGGCAGGGGCUGAGAAACUGAACAGAAUUUGUAGAAGACUAAUGCAGACCAAAAAUUAGAGUUGGGGUCCAAGUAGAAGCAGCCCUGGAAAACACCCCAGACUUUCUCGUGGGACCCCAAAGAGCUACUCUUUGAUUAAAGGUGAAUUGGUUAUGGGCCUGUCCUCACAAGGACUGAAGCCCAGCCUCAGAUCUAGUGGAUAGCCAGAAGCAAAAACAAAGCCCCUCUGAAGGAGGACAUGGUCUAAUUUCUCAAAUUUUCUCUAUUAAUUGUUUUCAAAGUCUGCUUAAGAAAUAGGAAUGCAAAAACACAAGAUUCGACCAACAAUGAGAAAGUGAACAAUAGAAACAGACCUCCAGGAAAUUCACGUAGUUAACAUUAUCUGACCGGUGUCUUACAAUAACUAUGAUUAAAAUGUUCAUGAAUUAAAUGACCAAAUGGAACAACUUCAGGAGAGAACUGGACACUAUGUUUAAAAUUCUAGAAUUGAAAAAUAAUAUAACAAUUUAAGAAAUCAGUAGAUGGCUCUGAUAGACACAACUUAAGAGAUAGGUAAUGAAAUGAAAGAUAAGAAAAUAUCCAGACUGGUGCUGGGGGUAAAUAGGAAGACAACUAUUCGAAGAGUUAAUGGUUAAGGUUGUUCCCAAAUUAAUGAAAGACAUUAAGCCACAUAAAUAAGAAAUGCUGUUGACCUCUAAGCAGGAUAAGUUACAAUGAAAGUUAUACUUAAUUACUUCAUAGUAAAACUACUGGAAAACAAAGACUAAUUUUAAAAGUAGCCAGAGGAAAAAUAUAUAUUACUUUCAAAGGAGCAACAGCAAGCCUUGAGAGGGAAUUUUCAGCAGAAGUAAUGAUAGUGGAAAAUGGAAUGGUGUUUUCAAAGAGCUUCAAGAAAAUAAUAGUCAACCUAGAAGACUAUGAGGCAAAAAUAUCCUUCCAAAGACACGUCCAGACAAAGGAAAAUAGAAUUUGCCACCAAUGAAAAGUACCAAAAGUAUGAAAGGAAAGUACUAAAGGGUGUUGUUGGAGCAGAAGGAAAAUGAUCACUGACCACAGCUGGAGGUGCAGAAAGGCAUUGAAAGGCAAUGGAAAGGGUAAGUAUGUGUAUAAAACUAAAUAAAUAUUGAAUGUGUGAAACAACUUUUUACUUUCUGGGGUCUUAAAUAUAUAAAGAACUAAAAUACAUCACCAAGAGAAGCACGUUAAGUGUGGAGGGAGGUAAAUGUAGGGGUCCCCAACAUUUCUGGCACCAGAGACCAGUUUUGUGGAAGAUAAUUUUUUCCCAGACAGUGGGUGGAGGGGUGGAGGGAUUGGGAGCAUGGUGUUGGGAUGACACUGUCCCACCUUAAAUCAUCAGGCAUUAGAUUCUCAUAAGGAGUGCACAACCUAGAUCCCUCACAUGCACAGUUCACAAUAGGGUUAGCGCUCCUAUGAGAAUCUAAUGCUGCUGUUGGUCUGACAGGAGGUGGAGCUCAGGCGGUAAUGCUUGCUGGCUUGCCACCCAUCUCUUGCUGUGCAGCCCAGUUCCUGACAGGCCACUGACCAGUACUGGUUCACAGCCUGGGGACUGUGGACCCCUGGGUAAAUGGAAUUAAAGUAUUCUGAAGUCCUUGAAUUGUCUUGAAAGUGAAAAUGGUGGAGGCACUGAUUUAUAUUAGAAAUUAAUAAAUCAGGGGUACAUGUUUCAGUUUCUACGGUAUUUUGUAAAAGAAUAAGAGUAUGUAAAACUAACAAGAUAACAGAAGGAGAAUAUGAAAUAAAAUAAUCCAAAGGAAGGCAAAAAGAAAAAAAGGCGCAUAGAACAGAUGGGAACAAAUAGAAAACAAACACCCACAUGCAUCAAUCUCUACAUCAAGCAUAUGUGGACUAAAUAUUCCAAUUCAAAGGCAAUAUUAUUAUCACCCUGGAUAAAGAACAAAUAUAAUUCUCUGAGACUUAAAAACAACAUACCUUAAACAAGGAUACAGAAAGAUGGAAAGUAAAAGGAUGGAAAAAGGACUAUCAUGCAAGUAUUAACCAAAAGGAAGCUGGUGUAUUUAGUACACGAAGUGAACUUUCAGGUAUUACCAGAGUAUGAAGGAUAUUUCAUAAUGAUAAAGGGCUUGCUUUACCAGUACUAUACCGAUGGCUGAGGUAUUUGGGCUGUCUGUGAGGCUCAGAUGGGCUGCCUGUGGCCCUGCCUCACCUUGGAGAUGGCCCAGGAAGCUAACUGAGACUUGGAGUUGGUCGAAGAGGAGCCAGACUCUAAAUAUUUGAAGAUUGUGUGCGUAUGUGUGUGUGUGUUUAGGGGAAAACAUGAGAGGUAGAGUACUAUUCAAAAGGACAAGAAGUGGAACAUUUUCUUUUAUAAAUCAAAUAAAUGGUGGCUCUGAGCCUUCCCCCACCUCCUGCCUUUUUUGGGUCCAGAUUGCUAAGAAAUGUUAUUAAUGAUAGCUCACACUUACGACAUUAUUGCCUUCUAAGUGCUUUGUAGGUAUUAAUUUAUUUAAUCCUCACAACAGCCUUAGGAGACAGGCAUCAUCACUACCAUCGCCAUUUUACAGAUGGAAAAACCAGCAACCAUCAGAGCUGGUAUUCAAAAUAAGCCAAUUCAGAUUCCGAGUCCCGGCUCCUAACCAUGGAGUGGCCUCAGGGUUUUAUAGUUUGUCCGGCUCUUUGGAUGAACAUCACACCUCAUGGAGGAGAGUCCCUUCCAUUUUAACGGCUCCAGGUUGUCAUGGAAAUCCUCUGUAUACAAGAGGGUAAGGAGGAGGAUGAGAAGCAAUACAUGCUUAUUGGGACUUUCUAUCAUCCCAGGACUUAUCCAGGUACAUUAUAACAAUGUUGAAUACAGUAUUAGUCCCAUUUUAACUAUGAGGAAAAUAAGGUUUGGACUGUCAGAGACAGAGCAAGACACAUUGGUAAGGGCAGACAAGGGAUUCAUCUGACUCCAAUGCCUCUUCCUUGGUAAACCAGACUGGCUUGUCACACCGUGAAAUUAGAGUCAACUUGUUAAAUCUUGACAGGUUGCUAAAUUAUUAAUUACACCCCCAGGAGCUGUGACUGGAGCAGCAGGGAUGCUAUGGCUGCACUGUACUAUUUUUAGCACUAGAUGGUGCUGUAACACUGCACAUCUCUUCCGCGGUGGCCCUUGGAGGAAGGUUACUUCAGGGCUUGGAGACCCUGGAGGGAAGGAUGCUACCUUACCAGAGCGUGAAAAAAACAUGGAAGACAGGAUACUCUCGGGCCCUGAGAAAGCUGGAGACUGUAGCCACCAGGUGGCUCCAGGAUGUGCAGUACUGGCGUCUGGGUUUUGCUCACACAACCGUGAACUCCUGGUCCCACCGAGCCCUAGCGAGUGGAUUGGAGCACACACCCACCCACCUCCUCAGAGCUCCUACGAGUAGAGGAGGUACCUAGGCACGUGGGAGCUUGGCGCCUUGUUAGGUGCUCAGGAUACUGGUUGUCCGGAAUCCCAGUGAGGUGCAGUCCCGCCCUUGUGCCACUUUCCCAUGCGCUUCCUGCCCCUCUGGGGGCUGCAGAGGCUGCAGAGUUGUCCAGCUUGAGAAACUGUAUCAAGGUUGCUCCCUGACGGCCUGGCAACUCGCUGAAGAGCUGCCUUCAGUUCAGAACAGUUUUAGGGAGAUUGUCAUAAACUCAAUGAGUUUAAAUGAUUUUACACUGACUCUUCAAAAAUGUCAAGGUCAUGAAAGACAAAGGCCGAGGAACUGCCCCAGACUGGAGGAGGCGGGAGACAUGGCAGCUGUGAAUGCACCGUGGGUCCUGAACCAGAAAAAGGAGCUCAGUGGGACGAUUGGUAACUUUUUGAUGCAAUCUGUCGCAUCUGAAAAGAAAACACAAGAGGUUCGGUUGGUGCAAUGUUCCUUUCUUCCCAGGACUUUCUGGUCUUCAAGGCUUUCUCAUGAGACAGAAGACUGAUGGAUGUAGAAGUUUCUAAGAGGACAGUUACGCUGCCAUGUUUUGAAGCAGGAAGACGUUACCACUUCUCAAAGGUCUUUAAUUGCCUGACCACUGCUUCUCUUUGGAAGGCUGUCAGGGUGAUGGAAUCUCAGAUCACAGCACAGAUAAAAUGGACAAAGAAAGAAAGAUACAAGAAGGAUGUAAAAAUGUCCAUAAUGAACUCAUGUAUCUUGCGGAAACCUCUAAUCUAAUGAGAAUGGAUUUUGUUGAGAAGAUUGUACACCAACAAUUAAUUAUUCAUGGCAGAGA